GACAGAAGGUGCAAGCGUUACUCGGAAUUACUGGGCGUAAAGCGUCUGUAGGUGUCUUUCCACGUCUGGCAUUAAAUCACGGGGCUCAACUCCGUAACUAUGUUGGAAACGAGAAAGAUCGAGUCACUCAGAGGCAUCUGGAAUGUCGUGUGUAGGGGUAAAAUCCGUAGAUACACGAUGGAACGCCAAAAGCGAAGGCAGGAUGCUAGGGGUGUACUGACACUCAGAGACGAAAGCGUGGGGAGCAAAGGGG
RNAcentral lists this ribosomal RNA (253 nucleotides) under uncultured bacterium. RNAcentral's name for it is "partial 16S ribosomal RNA". It matches the Rfam family "Bacterial small subunit ribosomal RNA", at positions 524 to 776 of the family's 1533-position model. The record is from RNAcentral.